GAUGAAGAACGUAGCGAACUGCGAUAAGUAAUGUGAAUUGCAGAAUUCAGUGAAUCAUCGAGUCUUUUGACGCACAUUGCGCCCCCUGGCAUUCCGGGGGGCAUGCCUGUCCGAGCGUCAUUGCUGCCCAUCAAGCCCGGCUUGUGUGUUGGGUCGUCGUCCCCCCCGGGGGACGGGCCCGAAAGGCAGCGGCGGCACCGUGUCCGGUCCUCGAGCGUAUGGGGCUUUGUCACCCGCUCGAUUAGGGCCGGCCGGGCGCCAGCCGACGUCUCCAACCAUUUUUUUCAGGUUGACCUCGGAUCAGGUAGGGAUACCCGCUGAACUUAAGCAUAUCAAUAAGCGGAGGA
This 347-nucleotide unclassified non-coding RNA is filed under the name soil metagenome. Its description in RNAcentral is "partial contains 5.8S ribosomal RNA, internal transcribed spacer 2, and large subunit ribosomal RNA". The stretch from base 1 to 120 matches the Rfam family "5.8S ribosomal RNA", at positions 35 to 154 of the family's 154-position model. The record is from RNAcentral.